This 427-nucleotide ribosomal RNA is filed under the name uncultured bacterium. RNAcentral describes it as "bacterial SSU rRNA". It matches the Rfam family "Bacterial small subunit ribosomal RNA", at positions 354 to 796 of the family's 1533-position model. The record is from RNAcentral.
GUUAAGAAUCUUCCUCAAUGCACGAAAGUGUGAAGGAGCGACGCCGCGUGAAUGAAGAAGCCCUUCGGGGUGUAAAAUUCUUUUCUUAGGGAAGAACAAAUGACGGUACCUAAGGAAUAAGGGGCUGCUAACUUCGUGCCAGCAGCAGCGGUAAUACGAAGGCCCCGAGCGUUAUCCGGAAUCAUUGGGCGUAAAGCGUCUGUAGACGGCUUGUUAAGUUAAUCGUUAAAUACUAAUGCUCAACAUUAGUUCAGCGAUUAAUACUGGCAAGCUAGAGGUUGGAAGAGGCAAGCGGAAUUGCCGGUGUAGUAGUAAAAUGCGUUAAUAUCGGCAGGAACACCAAAUGCGAAAGCAGUUUGCUAGAACAACCCUGACGUUGAGAGACGAAAGCGUGGGUAGCGAAUGGGAUUAGAAACCCUGGUAGUCC